GGUUAAAAAGCUCGUAGUUGGAUCUCGGCAAGUAGAGGGCGGUAUGCUUCGUAGCAUUACUGCCCUAUUACUUGUAGUUUUGCCAGAGGUUCCUGGGUGCUCUUAAUCGAGUGUCUAGGGAUGCUGGCAGGUUUACUUUGAAAAAAUUAGAGUGCUCAAAGCAGGCUAUUACGCUUGAAUAUUCGUGCAUGGAAUAAUAGAAUAGGAAGUUGUUUCUAUUUUGUUGGUUUUCGGAAAUCGACUUAAUGAUUAAUAGGGACAGUCGGGGGCAUUUGUAUUCAAACGACAGAGGUGAAAUUCUUGGACCGUUUGAAGACAAACUACUGCGAAAGCAUUUGCCAAGAAUGUUUUCAUUAAUCAAGAACGAAAGUUAGAGGUUCGAAGGCGAUUAGAUACCGCCCUAGUUCUAACCAUAAACGAUGCCAGCUAGCGAUCUGAGGACGUUUUUUUUGUAGACUCCUCAGGAAGCUUCCGGGAAACCAAAGCGUGUGGGUUCCGGGGGAGGUAUGGUUGCAAAGCUGAAACUUAAAGGAAUUGACGGAAGGGCACCACCAGGAGUGGAGCCUGCGGCUUAAUUUGACUCAACACGGGAAAUCUCACCAGGCCCGGACACUGGAAGGAUUGACAGAUUGAGAGCUCUUUCUCGAUUCGGUGGGGUGGUGGUGCAUGGCCG
Molecule: ribosomal RNA, 673 nt
Filed under: uncultured marine eukaryote
Lineage: Eukaryota
Description: SSU rRNA
Rfam family: Eukaryotic small subunit ribosomal RNA
Source: RNAcentral